Oreochromis aureus is the source of this 1059-nucleotide long non-coding RNA. The record is from Ensembl. Lineage: Eukaryota; Metazoa; Chordata; Actinopteri; Cichliformes; Cichlidae.
GAAGUAGUGCAAACAGAAGACUUGGUCUGAGUGUAGAGUCCAUGUGUGAGCAGUCAGAGUGCCCAUGCUGACCCCGUCCACCACCAAAAAACCAACAAUGUGAGCAUAAACUGGACCACAGAGCAUGGAAGGAGGUGAACUCGUCUCACGUGGAUGGCCAGGUGUGUGUGUGCAUUGCUUACCUGGGGAACACCUGACACCAGGAAGAAGGAUAAUGCACUAAUGCACAGAAACGGUUUGAGGAGCACAACAACCAGUUUGAGGUGUUGACUUGGCCUCCAGAUUCCCCGGAUCUCGGUCCAGUGGAGCAUCUGUGGGAUGUGCUGGACACACAGUCCGAUCCACGGAGGCCAACCUCACAGCUUACAGGACUGACAGGACCUGCUGCUGACACGUUGGUGCAGAUACCACAGCACGCCCUCAGGGGUCGAGCGGAGGCCACGCCUUGAUGGGUCAGGGGGAGCGACGCAGUUCCACCACUAACAGGCAGGGGGCAGCACAGGCGAUAAACGAGCAAACGCAUCUUUAAAUGAGCAGCUUUGUUGUUGCUUAGAGAAGGAAAGAGGAGUGGUUCCUCUCCACUGGGUGAUGACAUCAUCGCACCUGUGAGGAGACAGGUGAGCGAACGUGCCGACGCUCCCCAAUUAUCACAAGUGACACCGUGUCAGCAAAUUAGAUCGUUGCUCAACGACGCCUGGAGUGUCGGUGAGCAGCGGGAGGCCCGGCAGACCUCCAGCAGCAUCCAUCUGACACACACACACACACACACACACACACACACACACACACACACACACACACACACACACACACCCCUUCCCUGCUAUUCCUUUUAUGUCUCUCACGCACACGAACACACACUCAUGGACAUUACCUGCCUCUCAGCCCAAGUUACCUUCAUGUGAUUUAUGACUUAUUGCUGUCAUUAAUCAGCACACAUGUGGCUCUGCUGGCUGUCUGAAAUAUUACACAACUUGUGCGAGGCCUUUAAAUGUCUGAUGUGAAGCAGGUCGACUCGUUUGGUGCUGCAGACAAUUAAAGAAUAAAGAAAACACACCU